GAAAUGCGAUAAGUAAUGUGAAUUGCAGAAUUCAGUGAAUCAUCGAAUCUUUGAACGCACCUUGCGCCCCUUGGUAUUCCGAGGGGCAUGCCUGUUUGAGUGUCUUGAAAUCAUCAGGCCCGCCGGGUUCUUGCAAUCCGUCGGGCUUGGAGUUGGGGGUCUUGCUGCCUCGCGGCGGCUCCCCUUGAAUGCAUCGGCUGGGCCUCUGGGGUUCCUGCUCUCGGGCGUUGUAUCAACCUCGCUUGCGGCAGACCCUGGCUUUGCGCGUCCGGCUUUGACCUGCCUCUGGAGCGGCGGUCGACCGUUGAAAUCUGACCUCAAAUCAGGUAGGACUACCCGCUGAACUUAA
Molecule: unclassified non-coding RNA, 349 nt
Filed under: uncultured Trechispora
Lineage: Eukaryota; Fungi; Basidiomycota; Agaricomycetes; Polyporales; Polyporaceae
Description: sequence contains ITS1
Rfam family: 5.8S ribosomal RNA (bases 1-105)
Source: RNAcentral